This 241-nucleotide ribosomal RNA is filed under the name uncultured Prevotellaceae bacterium. Its description in RNAcentral is "partial 16S ribosomal RNA". It matches the Rfam family "Bacterial small subunit ribosomal RNA", at positions 97 to 339 of the family's 1533-position model. Lineage: Bacteria; Pseudomonadati; Bacteroidota; Bacteroidia; Bacteroidales; Prevotellaceae. The record is from RNAcentral.
GGCGCACGGGUGAGUAACGCGUAUCCAACCUGCCCAUGUCUGGGGAAUAACCCGUCGAAAGGCGGACUAACUCCCCAUGGUCUCCGAUGAGGACAUCUGAAUUGGAGUAAAGUUUUGCGGACAUGGAUGGGGAUGCGUCUGAUUAGGUAGUAGGCGGGGUAACGGCCCACCUAGCCUACGAUCAGUAGGGGUUCUGAGAGGAAGGUCCCCCACAUUGGAACUGAGACACGGGCCAAACUCC